Molecule: long non-coding RNA, 1001 nt
Filed under: Homo sapiens (human)
Lineage: Eukaryota; Metazoa; Chordata; Mammalia; Primates; Hominidae
Description: non-protein coding lnc-ADA-3:18
Source: RNAcentral
AGGAGGAGGUCCUCUGAGCCCUGAGGCAGAGAUCUCUCACCUGGAAGAUGGGUCUAAUGACUGCGCCCCACACACACCAGAGAGGACUGCAGAUAGUGCGGGAUGAGAGGAAGAUCUCUGGCCCUGGAGACAGCAUCAUCAAGCGAAAACGUAUGAGGAAGAAAAUAGCAGAUGAGAAGAAUCAACCAAAUUCCGGAAGCUGGAAGGCAGAUGCAAGAAGGCCCUUGAAUGAUGCCAGCACCUUGAUAUUGGACUUUCCAGCCUCCAGAACCAUGAGCCAAUACAUUUCUGUUCCAUAAAAAUUACCCAGUUCCAGGUAUUCUGCUAUAGCAGCACAAAAUGGACUAAAACAAUGUUGGCACAAGACUCAGUGCUGGGCCUGGCAUGCAACAGGUCCUUGGAGUGGCGUGCUGUGUGGAUAAUGAAUAUUGGGGAAGGCAUCUCUCUCCAGCCCCUCUCAAGCUUUCUGUAGUCACUGGUCCACUCUGUAUUGCUAUGAAGAAGCUCAAGACCAGCCUGUAUCACUCGGGGUCCUGGCAGGAACCAGGUGCCACACUCAAACUGAGUAAUUGAAGAGGGUUUAAUAUGGGAGUUAUUUACAUAGGUGUGGGCUGGUGUAGCUGCCCAUAUGCCCUCAAAAUCACCUCUACAUGGCAAUAGCUACUUACUGCUAACAGAGUCUCUCUCUCAUUGCUGCAAAUAUUUUCUAGCCAUGCAAGAAACUCAGCCGGUCAUGUUGAACAAACUAAGAGUGCCAGGAAGUUAAUGUCCUGGAAGCAUUGCCAGAGGGGAGGGGGCAGUUAGAUUCCCCAGCUUCCUCGCUCCUCUGCUGGGUUAAGCCUGCAACAUAUUCAUCAUCUCCCAGAGUGCUGCCCAGGGAUAGAGCUCCAGGUGCUCAGUGUGGUGACCUGCUCAUGUCAGCUUCUUCCCCUUUCCUGUCUUGUUUCGCACCCACAUCCUUCCCAUGUUUCCUCUUCCCAAAUAAACUACUUGCAUUGAAA